Molecule: long non-coding RNA, 2474 nt
Organism: Heterocephalus glaber (naked mole-rat)
Lineage: Eukaryota; Metazoa; Chordata; Mammalia; Rodentia; Bathyergidae
Source: Ensembl
UUGUUGAAGGUGGGUUUAAUGAUAAGAGCCAAGGUUGUUAUGCAGGUGUCUCUGCUAUGAUGUUUCCCUUUCACAUCACAGAUCUAGCUGUUGUGUUUCAGUUGUGGGAUGACUUAAUUGUUAGUUACAGUUAUGCCACUCUCAAUCUCCUUUCUCUCUACCCACCUUUGUAUUUGUGUUUUUAGUCUUUGCCACAUGCUGACUUUCUCCAUGUCUUCUCCUUUCUAGAUCGGGUGGUGGAUGAUCUAAAUCCAAUGCUGAACUUUACUCGGAAGGAAGUGGAGAACCUACUGCACUUUGUUGAGAAGGAGCCAGCUCCCCAAGCAUCCUUGAACAUAAAAGGGAUCAAGGAAUCAGUCCUGCAAUUUGCCUGUCUGAAGUACCCUCACCUUAUCACCAAGGAGCCUUUCGAGCAUGAAUCAUUGCUUCUCAACCGAAAGGAUCACAAGCUGACCAAGGCUGAGAAAAAAGCAGCAAAGAAAAGCUAUGAGGAAGACAAACGAACAUCAGUCCCCUAUACCCGCCCAUCAUAUGCACAAUAUUACCCUGCCAGUGACCAGAGCCUGACCAGCAUCCCUGCCUUCAGUCAGAGGAACUGGCAGCCAGCACUGAAGGGUGAUGAAAAGCCAGUGGCCAGUGUUCGUCCUGUACAGUCUACUCCCAUCCCAAUGAUGCCUCGCCAUGCGUUCCUCUUGGGGGCAGUGUAAGCUCUGCCUCUAGCACAAAUCCAUCCAUGAACUUCCGAUCAACUACUUGCAGCGGGCAGGAGUCCUCGUCCAGAAGGUGGUCACCACAACAGGUGUGGGGCAAUGCCAGCAAGAAGAGGAUGGAGCCACUUUUGGAGUCUAAAGUGAUGUAGACCAGAUAUAUGCAAAUAAUAGCUAUCUAAAAUAAUCAUUAGAACUAACCUUUUUUUCCAAAUCAAAAUCUUUUUGAUUUUUAAGUAACAUUCCCACCGGCUUGAACCAUAUGUGUGACUGUACCAUUGGGUGGCUUAAAAAACACUGGUAUACUGUUUAGUUAUGUACUUGUACUGGUGGUACAAAUAAAUCUAAUAGCUUUUACUAGUCUUUUUACUAAUAAAAAUUAAGGAAAAGUCUAUAAAUGGACUGAAUCUAGAUAGUUAAAGUUGAAUAAUAGUAUAAAUUAAUAACAUAGUAAUUAAAAAUUACAAUAAUAAAAUUUAUUUUAGAGCACAUUCACAUUUUUAUUUUUAUUACACUACUUUUAUAACUAAAUUUUUUUUUUUGUAUCAGGGAUCGAACUCGGGACUUUGUGCUUGCAAGGCAGGCAGCGGAACCACUAAGCUAAAUCCCCGGCCCUCAAAUUUAUUUUAUUAAAUUAAAAGAAAUUUAUUUGUAUCUGGAAAUUUCUUUAAAACAUUUUAUACAUAAAGGCAACCAAUUUGUGCAUAAUGCAUAAAAGUUUAUAGUACAUUUGACUUGUUUUGUGGCCACAAUGGCACCCAUUCUUUCAGAUAACUUUCGAUAACAUUCUCUACAUUGCUUGCAUGCAUUUCUUUCUGAUUCUAAAUAAGGUUCUAUAAAGUGAAUGUUUUAUUGGGUUAUUUGUACGUGUAGCAUUUCUUUAUGGGUUAGUAAUUUAUUGAUAAUUAAUUCUCUAGGGCCGGGGAUUUAGAUCAGUGGUUCUGCCACCUGCCUCGCAAGCAGAAGGUCCUGAGUUCGAUCCCUGGUACCAAAAAAAAAAAAAUUAAUUCUCUAAAUUUUAGUGUGGAAAUCUUAUGAGUAACUCAUUGCUGGUGUAUAUAAUAUACAUUUACAACUGCUAUACCUUAAAUUAGCUGUAUUAUAAUUUUUUUAUACCAUUUUAAUGUUUUCCUUAAGGAACUGUAAUAUGAUGGCAUCUGAUAUGCUAAAUCAGCACCUUUCUUUGCAUUAUUGUAAUCAAAGAGAAGAUCAGGUUUUAUGUUACCAGGUUUUUCUUUGUUCAGUCUACAUGUAUGAUUUUUACAAAAAAAUCAUUAACAUGCAAUCAGUUCUUCUAUCAGUCCAUUUAAAAAUUUUACACCAGAAAAAUUUUCAAAAGUUUAUGAUUCGGGGCUGGGGAUUUAGCUCAGUGGUUUUGCCGCCUGCUGCACAAGCGCAAGGACCCGAGUUCGAUUCCUGGCACCAAAAAAAAAAAGUUUAUGAUUUGCUGCGUUUUUGCUGUCUUUGUACUGGUAAAAAUUUUCGAUUUGGCUGCAAAAGUAUGUUUCUUUUUGUAAAAGUUCUUUUACUGGGGGUACACUUGAAUAAUAACUACGAGUAUAUAAUGUGUGAUGUUCAAAUAAUAGGCUGUUCAUUAAUUUCAAAACAACAUCAUAAGAAUGCCCAUGCAUUGAAGGGUUUGCAUUUUUUCAAACAUAGAUGUGUAAAUCAUAGGUGUGCUCAUUAGGCAAACAUAAUUGAUAUAAUUUUAUCCUGGAUUUGUACCAUUUUCCUUUGAUAUGUUGGCAGAAAUAUGGAUGUCCUCAC